UACGGAGGGUGCAAACGUUGCUCGGAAUCACUGGGCGUAAAGCGCACGUAGGCGGACUCUUAAGUCGGUGGUGAAAUCCUGGAGCUCAACUCCAGAACUGCCUUCGAUACUGAGAGUCUCGAGUCCGGGAGAGGUGAGUGGAACUGCGAGUGUAGAGGUGAAAUUCGUAGAUAUUCGCAAGAACACCAGUGGCGAAGGCGGCUCACUGGCCCGGUACUGACGCUGAGGUGCGAAAGCGUGGGAGCAAACAGG
RNAcentral lists this ribosomal RNA (252 nucleotides) under uncultured bacterium. RNAcentral's name for it is "partial 16S ribosomal RNA". It matches the Rfam family "Bacterial small subunit ribosomal RNA", at positions 524 to 776 of the family's 1533-position model. The record is from RNAcentral.